UUUCCGUAGGUGAACCUGCGGAAGGAUCAUUACCGAGGUUCCGGAGGGGCGCGCGGGACCCCCCGUCCCCCCUCCACGACCCCCAAAACCUGUGCUCAUCCGCUCGCCGUGUCGCCCUCGCGGGUCCCCCCCGCCGGGGCGGCCGGAAAACUCUCCUGUGAACAACGCAAGUCCGAGCUUCGUCUCGGCGAAUCAGAUAUAGCGAACAAAACUUUCAACAACGGAUCUCUUGGUUCUG
This 238-nucleotide unclassified non-coding RNA is filed under the name soil metagenome. RNAcentral's name for it is "partial contains small subunit ribosomal RNA, internal transcribed spacer 1, and 5.8S ribosomal RNA". The record is from RNAcentral.